UAUUCAAAAUUUCAUCCAUUUCUAUUGUUAAAAACAUUGACGUGAUUGAUGGAAUAACCAUGCCACGUGUACAUCAUGGUUAUAUACACAGAUCGGUUUUUAAUAGUAAAAAUGGAUGGAACUUUUAAUA
Molecule: non-coding RNA, 130 nt
Organism: Gossypium hirsutum (cotton)
Lineage: Eukaryota; Viridiplantae; Streptophyta; Magnoliopsida; Malvales; Malvaceae
Source: Rfam